RNAcentral lists this ribosomal RNA (509 nucleotides) under uncultured bacterium. RNAcentral describes it as "bacterial SSU rRNA". It matches the Rfam family "Bacterial small subunit ribosomal RNA", at positions 30 to 529 of the family's 1533-position model. The record is from RNAcentral.
AUUGAACGCUGGCGGCAUGCCUUACACAUGCAAGUCGAACGGUAACAGGUCUUCGGAUGCUGACGAGUGGCGAACGGGUGAGUAAUACAUCGGAACGUGCCCGAUCGUGGGGGAUAACGGAGCGAAAGCUUUGCUAAUACCGCAUACGAUCUACGGAUGAAAGCAGGGGACCGCAAGGCCUUGCGCGGACGGAGCGGCCGAUGGCAGAUUAGGUAGUUGGUGGGAUAAAAAGCUUACCAAGCCGACGAUCUGUAGCUGGUCUGAGAGGACGACCAGCCACACUGGGACUGAGACACGGCCCAGACUCCUACGGGAGGCAGCAGUGGGGAAUUUUGGACAAUGGGCGAAAGCCUGAUCCAGCCAUGCCGCGUGCAGGAUGAAGGCCUUCGGUUGUAAACUGCUUUUGUACGGAACGAAAAGACUACCUUCUAAUAAAGGGGUCCGAUGACGGUACCGUAAGAAUAAGACACCGGCCGUAACUACGUGCCAGCAGCCGCGGUAAACACGAG